RNAcentral lists this ribosomal RNA (110 nucleotides) under uncultured eukaryote. RNAcentral describes it as "partial small subunit ribosomal RNA". It matches the Rfam family "Eukaryotic small subunit ribosomal RNA", at positions 1676 to 1785 of the family's 1831-position model. The record is from RNAcentral.
UCGCUCCUACCGAUUGAAUGGUCCGGUGAAGCGUCCGGAUGAGUGCGGUUCGGCGGCAACGCUUGGCCCUGCUCAGAAGUUCGUUAAACCUUAUCAUUUAGAGGAAGGAG